AGUUCUGGGAGGAAGAAAAAUGUCGAGGUCUGGUGCUUCGCUAAAAACGCCGUCGGGAACCAGGUGUCGCCGUGUAAAUUCACCGUCUAUACGCAAGGGCGCCCAGGUCCCGUCAGCGAGUGCAGCGUGAGCAAUCACACCGCGUGGGGCUUCGAGGUGCGGUGUCUCUCCGGCCCCUUGAGGAGCAUGAACACAGAAUACACGCUCCUCGUCUACGCUCAAAAACAGGACAGGGCUUCAGGAGCAGGUGGCCAGAAGCAACAACAACAACAACAACAGCAACAACAACAACAACAACAGGAGCACGAGGUGGGAGUGCCAACCCCGACGCUUGGACAGCUGGUUCGCAACCUCACCACCAGUUCCCCUCU
RNAcentral lists this long non-coding RNA (371 nucleotides) under Penaeus japonicus. Its description in RNAcentral is "uncharacterized LOC122244369". The record is from RNAcentral. Lineage: Eukaryota; Metazoa; Arthropoda; Malacostraca; Decapoda; Penaeidae.